UACUAUACAUCUUAUACCAGUCUACCAUC
Molecule: non-coding RNA, 29 nt
Filed under: Mus musculus (house mouse)
Lineage: Eukaryota; Metazoa; Chordata; Mammalia; Rodentia; Muridae
Source: RNAcentral